GACGAACGCUGGCGGCGUGCCUAAUACAUGCAAGUAGAACGCUGAAGGAGGAGCUUGCUUCUCUGGAUGAGUUGCGAACGGGUGAGUAACGCGUAGGUAACCUGCCUGGUAGUGGGGGAUAACUAUUGGAAACGAUAGCUAAUACCGCAUAAGAGUAGAUGUUGCAUGACAUUUGCUUAAAAGGUGCAAUUGCAUCACUACCAGAUGGACCUGCGUUGUAUUAGCUAGUUGGUGGGGUAACGGCUCACCAAGGCGACGAUACAUAGCCGACCUGAGAGGGUGAUCGGCCACACUGGGACUGAGACACGGCCCAGACUCCUACGGGAGGCAGCAGUAGGGAAUCUUCGGCAAUGGACGGAAGUCUGACCGAGCAACGCCGCGUGAGUGAAGAAGGUUUUCGGAUCGUAAAGCUCUGUUGUAAGAGAAGAACGAGUGUGAGAGUGGAAAGUUCACACUGUGACGGUAUCUGACCAGAAAGGGACGGCUAACUACGUG
Molecule: ribosomal RNA, 495 nt
Filed under: uncultured bacterium
Lineage: Bacteria
Description: partial 16S ribosomal RNA
Rfam family: Bacterial small subunit ribosomal RNA
Source: RNAcentral